CAUUGGGCACCUAUUUAAUGCAUCAAACCGUGAUUAUGACGGCGAUGAUAAUAAUGAUGAUGGUUUCUCGCACAAUAAAUAAUGGUGUCUGCCACUCUACCAGUCACGGUGGUCAAGAACAAUUCAAACACGACGAGAAAUUUGGUGUAAAUCGCGACAAUAAUAUCAAUUGUUGAUUUGAUACGUCAUCACGACGAGUGAGAUGAACACUUUAAGAGACGGACAAUAGUUCUUGAAGCCCCUUCACCUUGACAUGACUCGCUCCACGACAAACAGACAACAAACUUUUACGUCAGUGGUUUGGUUAGCUGAGCAUUAUUUACCUACGUUGAGAACAAAUGACAAUGAACUUCCUACUGACAUUCAUUUUCAAUUUACCUCGGAAUUGGUUGUCGAUGAUUAAAUAAGUUUCCAGUCCAGCCGCACUUUUACUCUUUUUUUCAGAUCAUGUCCUUUCAUCCCAUAAAGUGUCACGAACUCGCGAAGAAAACAAAAAUUCGUACAUAUAUAUGUCGCAGCCUUUUUAAAUCAGUUUCCGGUUCUGUGAGAGUUCAUUAAAUUUUUGUAACGAAAUAAUAAUAAUUCGCGUCUGAAUUAUCAUCGAGGUAAUUAUUUCGUGAUGAUAUGAAUGCCUACAUGACUUUCCA
This is a long non-coding RNA of Folsomia candida, 647 nucleotides long. RefSeq lists it as uncharacterized. The record is from RefSeq and is a predicted model, not a curated record. The transcript has 3 exons. NCBI's taxonomy places the organism in Eukaryota, Metazoa, Arthropoda, Collembola, Entomobryomorpha, Isotomidae.